Long non-coding RNA from Eurytemora carolleeae, 357 nucleotides. RefSeq lists it as uncharacterized. The record is from RefSeq and is a predicted model, not a curated record. The transcript is spliced from 2 exons. Lineage: Eukaryota; Metazoa; Arthropoda; Copepoda; Calanoida; Temoridae.
AUAUCCCAUAAACUACCCUGUCUUAAAAGUCGUCUUUGACAAACUACACCUCCGUCAAACCUUCGUCCACUUUCUGCUCCAAACCAAAUACUGUUCAAGGUUUCUGCAUAAACGUAAACAAAAUCCUCGUGCAACAAUAAGAUUUAAAUUCGUAAAAAAUAGAAACAAUUUACGCUUAAAAUUCAGUGAAUCAUUUUGCAAACUAAUAGUGAAUUAAUUUUUUACCAAAUGAAUAUUUUUUUUCAGAAAUUGAAUAGUUUAGACUCCGAUUCCAACCACUAUUCCCGUACUAUACGACAAUAGAUCGAAACCUCGUUACUGAAAUAUAUUUUCACCAGAAGUUAUCGUCUACGUAUA